CUCCAUCAAGAAAACAAGCAAUUAUGAAUAAGCUUCUCUGCAACGCAGGAUAUUACAAUAUGCAUGCAGUCAAGCACAAAACCACCUUAACAGAAAAAUGAAGAAACAUCAUGUACAAGAAAGUGACCCCAUAGUUGUCUAAUAAAAGACUAAAAGUCGAGAGCAUUGGAUAGGAUGUCUACCGCUUGUGGUCGUUUAAGGUCUUACCCUCGAAAAAUUCACCAGGCACAUGUUCGGGAUCCUCUGGAUUGUACAUGAUGUACUUCUGUGGGUUAUUACCCGUU
This 284-nucleotide long non-coding RNA is filed under the name Olea europaea subsp. europaea. Lineage: Eukaryota; Viridiplantae; Streptophyta; Magnoliopsida; Lamiales; Oleaceae. The record is from RNAcentral.